This 660-nucleotide long non-coding RNA is filed under the name Brassica napus (rape). Its description in RNAcentral is "long non-coding RNA (BNAP_LNC013194)". The record is from RNAcentral. Lineage: Eukaryota; Viridiplantae; Streptophyta; Magnoliopsida; Brassicales; Brassicaceae.
UGGAAAAGGAAUUCCUUGUUCUCUAUGUGAUUCAUGCAGAAGUCUAAAAACAUAACCUCGGUUUCAAAAUCCAAACUGUACAACACAAGAAGUUCAUAUUUGUGAAGUGGUUUAGGUAAAGUAAGAAACCUAUAGAACUCAGAAGAUUUGAGAUGUGAGCACCCGAAAGGUUUUCAAAGGUGAAAUAUAAAUAUGAUCUAUACAUAUGACUUGAAAUCUAUAAGCCUCAGCCUGUAAUCUUCUUUCUAAGAUUUACAUUUAUCGAUUUAAAUAUGUAUAUUUGUGUUUAUCUUGAAAUAAAUUUAUAGAUUCAAACUCUAUAUUCUUACUUUGCUACUAUUUUAUCUUAUAGAUUCUAAUUUUGAAGUGUUUUAAAAUUGUAAAGCUAUUUUCAUGUUUUUUAUGUUCAAAUUUUUUAGAUCUGAAAAUUAUCCGAUACAUAGAUUUAUGAUGAAGUAUGCUUACAAGUGAAUGUUAGUAGACUUCAAAUAAAGUCUACUAAUAUAUGAUUUUAAAUUUCUUGGUCUUAUGUUUUCUUUAUAAUUUUAUCUUAUUCUGCAGGUAUUCUGUUCCAUAAUUUUUAAAUCCUUCUUCCAAAAAUAGAAGAUUUACAUCUAUAAAUUUCAAAUGUGUGUUUUUGUGUUUAUAUUAAAAUAUAUU